UUAACAAAUAUAUAAUAUAGUAACUAAUAUUUAAAUGACAUGAUGUGUGCAAUAAUAAACUGUUAAAAUAAUAGCAUUACUUAUAAUUAGUAAACAUUAUAAAUGAUAAUUUUAUUGUUUGUUACCGAUAAAAUAACUAUAUAUGUAUCUGUUUACCCUUCUUUCUUUUAAAGAUUAUUUUAUUGGGGCUUUUUAGGCCUUUAUUUAUAGAGGACAGCUGAAGACAUGAAAGGGGAGAGAGAGGGGGAAUGACAUGCAGCAAAGGGCAUCGAGGAGUAAACCUCUAUAUAUGGGCACCUGCUCUACCAGGUUCCGAACCAUAUUGGAAACCUGGCUGCUGUUUGAUACAGUUGAGGCGUGGUGGAGCCGCAACACUACCAGUAGACAUAAGGGGUUUUCCUGUUGCUACUCUGACCUGGAUCUGCAUAAGUAUCAGAAAAGUAAAUGGAUGGCUGGUUCUUUAAUUUAUUUUUUAUAUUGUGAAUGGCCAAUGUACAUUACAUUCUCCCAUGAGUUAAAGAUGGGUAUUCUCAUGUUGGUUGAAAAAAGUCUGAUGCCAAGGGCCAGGUUGAUGGUUUGGAUCUUCCAACAACUUUUUCUCUAUCAAACACUUUUUGCUUAGUGAAGAGUAAAAAAGAAUCGCCGGUGCAACACAGAUGUCUUCUUACUUAAUAGUUUUUAUUUUAUUUUUUAAGGUUACGUCUUCAUCAGAGUCCUUGGACUUUUUGCUGUAUCUUAGUGAUGUGAUGGUUGGAGGCCGGCUGGCUGUGAGUUUCUGUUUUUUUUUCCCUCUUUUAUGUUCUGCUGUCAGUUUCUGUGUUUUCCCCCCUCCUGCCUGUGUCAGCCAGCUGAUUGCACACACCUGCUCGCCUCCUCACCGCCACUCCUCCCGCCGUACACACCUGCCUGUCAUCAACUACAAUCAAACUCAGUAUUUAAACCCCGGAUUGACUCACCAUCCUCGCUUGAUCGUUGCUCCAGUCUCUUCGUCACUACCUUCCCGUCACUCUGCCUCCAGUCAGCUGGCUCCUCCAUCCAGUCCCUCUCUCGCGGUUCCCUGCUCCAGCCUGCCUCAGCUCACGCCAGUGCUUCCCCCGCGGAUCUCUCAGCCCCGGUCUCCCCGUGCCCUCGGAGCUCCCUCUCUGUUCCCUGUUUCAGUCUCCGCGCCCGUGCUUUCGCCCCUGGCAUCCACCUUCACACUUCCCCAUUCACUCCCCCAU
Molecule: long non-coding RNA, 1220 nt
Filed under: Sander lucioperca (pikeperch)
Lineage: Eukaryota; Metazoa; Chordata; Actinopteri; Perciformes; Percidae
Description: lncRNA (ENSSLUG00000021967.1)
Source: RNAcentral